Molecule: ribosomal RNA, 595 nt
Filed under: uncultured bacterium
Lineage: Bacteria
Description: bacterial SSU rRNA
Rfam family: Bacterial small subunit ribosomal RNA
Source: RNAcentral
UGACGGUAUCAUAUGAAUAAGCACCGGCUAACUCCGUGCCAGCAGCCGCGGUAAUACGGGGGGUGCAAGCGUUACUCGGAAUCACUGGGCGUAAAGAGCAUGUAGGCGGGUGAAUAAGUUGGAAGUGAAAUCCUAUAGCUUAACUAUAGAACUGCUUCCAAAACUGUUCACCUAGAGUAUGGGAGAGGUGGAUGGAAUUUCUGGUGUAGGGGUAAAAUCCGUAGAGAUCAGAAGGAAUACCGAUUGCGAAGGCGAUCUACUGGAACAUUACUGACGCUCAGAUGCGAAAGCGUGGGGGAGCAAACAGGAUUAGAUACCCUGGUAGUCCACGCCCUAAACGAUGUACACUAGUUGUUGCUAUACUAGAUAUGGCAGUAAUGCAGUUAACACUUUAAGUGUACCGCCUGGGGAGUACGGUCGCAAGAUUAAAACUCAAAGGAAUAGACGGGGACCCGCACAAGCGGUGGAGCAUGUGGUUUAAUUCGACGAUACGCGAAAAACCUUACCUGGCCUUGACAUAGUAGGAAUCUUUAAGAGAUUAGAGAGUGCUAGCUUGCUAGAACCUACAUACAGGUGCUGCACGGCUGUCGUCAGC